GUCCAGGUGGCGGAAUGGUAGACGCGCUAGCUUGAGGUGCUAGUGACCAACUAUAUCGGUCGUGCGGGUUCAACUCCCGCUCUGGACA
RNAcentral lists this transfer RNA (88 nucleotides) under Aeriscardovia sp. RNAcentral's name for it is "tRNA-Leu". It matches the Rfam family "tRNA". From Rfam's summary of the family: Transfer RNA (tRNA) molecules are approximately 80 nucleotides in length. Their secondary structure includes four short double-helical elements and three loops (D, anti-codon, and T loops). Lineage: Bacteria; Bacillati; Actinomycetota; Actinomycetes; Bifidobacteriales; Bifidobacteriaceae. The record is from RNAcentral.